This 510-nucleotide ribosomal RNA is filed under the name uncultured Acaulospora. RNAcentral describes it as "SSU rRNA". It matches the Rfam family "Eukaryotic small subunit ribosomal RNA", at positions 569 to 1078 of the family's 1831-position model. The record is from RNAcentral. Lineage: Eukaryota; Fungi; Glomeromycota; Glomeromycetes; Diversisporales; Acaulosporaceae.
AGCAGCCGCGGUAAUUCCAGCUCCAAUAGCGUAUAUUAAAGUUGUUGCAGUUAAAAAGCUCGUAGUUGAAUUUCGGGAUUCGUCGGUUGGUCGGGCUUCACUGUCCGCACUGACCUGACGGAUUCCUACCUUCUGAAUAACCAGCAUGCUAUUAAGUUAGUGCGUUGGGGAAGCAGAGCUAUUACCUUGAAAAAAUUAGAGUGCUUAAAGCAGGCUUGUGCUUGAAUAGAUUAGCAUGGAAUAGUAAAAUAGGACGGCAUGGUUCUAUUUUGUUGGUUUCUAGGAUCACCGUAAUGAUUAAUAGGGAUAGUUGGGGGCAUUAGUAUUCAAUUGUCAGAGGUGAAAUUCUUGGAUUUAUUGAAGACUAACUUCUGCGAAAGCAUUUGCCAAGGAUGUUUUCAUUAAUCAAGAACGAAAGUUAGGGGAUCGAAGACGAUCAGAUACCGUCGUAGUCUUAACCAUAAACUAUGCCGACUAGGGAUCGGACGAUGUUAAUUUUUUAAUGACUCG